UGUCACUUGUCGAACUGGCGCAGUUCGACAGGUACCCUGUCGAACUGUGGCUAUUCGAUAGGUGUCCUGUCGAACCACGGUUGUUCAACACGGUG
Molecule: microRNA precursor, 95 nt
Filed under: Oryza nivara
Lineage: Eukaryota; Viridiplantae; Streptophyta; Magnoliopsida; Poales; Poaceae
Description: pre miRNA MIR439
Source: RNAcentral